UGGGGAAUUUUGGACAAUGGGGGAAACCCUGAUCCAGCAAUGCCGCGUGUGCGAUGAAGGCCUGCGGGUUGUAAAGCACUUUCGGUGGGGAGGAAAUGCUCAAAGUUAAUACCUUUGAGAGCUGACGUUACCCACAGAAGAAGCACCGGCAAACUCUGUGCCAGCAGCCGCGGUAAUACAGAGGGUGCAAGCGUUAAUCGGAGUUACUGGGCGUAAAGGGCGCGUAGGCUGAUAUUUAAGUUAAUUGUGAAAUCCCUGGGCUUAACCUAGGAAUUGCAGUUAAUAAUGAGUAGCUAGAGUAUGGUAGAGGAAAGUGGAAUUCUCGGUGUAGUGGUGAGAUACGUAGGUAUCGAGAAGAACACCGGUGGCGAAGGCGACUUUCUGGACCAAUACUGACGCUGAGGCGCGAAAACGUGGGGAGCAAACA
RNAcentral lists this ribosomal RNA (427 nucleotides) under uncultured bacterium. Its description in RNAcentral is "bacterial SSU rRNA". It matches the Rfam family "Bacterial small subunit ribosomal RNA", at positions 355 to 774 of the family's 1533-position model. The record is from RNAcentral.